RNAcentral lists this long non-coding RNA (246 nucleotides) under Mustela putorius furo (domestic ferret). RNAcentral's name for it is "lncRNA (ENSMPUG00000024676.1)". The record is from RNAcentral. Lineage: Eukaryota; Metazoa; Chordata; Mammalia; Carnivora; Mustelidae.
AGAAAAUGUCUAUCUUGACUGAACAUGCUUCACUGAACACUGGCGAGUGUUUGCUUGACUGAACACUGAAGUUACAAGAAAAGGAAGCCAGGAUGGCAGCCCACAAAUUGGGUUCCAGACUUUGUCUUCUCAUUCUUCUUUUAUUCUCAUCAUUAUUAUCACUAGGAGUAUAAAAAGGAAAUAUUGCUAUGAAAACAGCAUGAGUUUUUCAUCCUGUCUUUUAACUGAUACUAUCUUCAAUCAAAC